AACUCAAAGGAGACCCGUCGAUAAAGCGGAGGAAGGUGGGGACGACGUCAAGUCAUCAUGGCCCUUACGACCAGGGCUACACACGUGCUACAAUGGCGUAUACAAAGGGAGGCGACCUCGCGAGAGCAAGCGGACCUCAUAAAGUACGUCUAAGUCCGGAUUGGAGUCUGCAACUCGACUCCAUGAAGUCGGAAUCGCUAGUAAUCGUGAAUCAGAAUGUCACGGUGAAUACGUUCCCGGGCCUUGUACACACCGCCCGUCACACCAUGGGAGUGGGUUGCACCAGAAGUAGAUAGCUUAACCGCAAGGGGGGCGUUUACCACGGUGUGGUCCAUGACUGGGGUGAAGUCGUAACAAGGUAACCAAGGGCGAAUUCUG
This 378-nucleotide ribosomal RNA is filed under the name uncultured Enterobacteriaceae bacterium. Its description in RNAcentral is "bacterial SSU rRNA". It matches the Rfam family "Bacterial small subunit ribosomal RNA", at positions 1136 to 1515 of the family's 1533-position model. Lineage: Bacteria; Pseudomonadati; Pseudomonadota; Gammaproteobacteria; Enterobacterales; Enterobacteriaceae. The record is from RNAcentral.